CUGCUUAGCCCUAGCACUGCAGGCAGUGGGGUUUGACACUGCCUGGACGUUUGGGUAGGUGUUGGCCAUGAGGGGGAACCUGAGGAGAAUGGUAUCUACCAGAUCCAUGUAGCACAGACAAACUGACCACCAGGAUGAGUUGGGAGAAGCCAUAACAUAGUCUGGUUUCCUGUGCUUGUUUGCUACUUGUCUCCAUACAGCUUGGACUCCAGUCAGUGUGUGCACAACCCUUACCACUUCAGGGAUCUGGUCUUGGUUGGGACCAGGAAAACUAGUGACAGAGGAUCCGACCCCUCUGCUCUCCUCCGCUCUGGGGAGGCCGCCCCGGGGUGCUCCCGGGGCCAGAGAGGCCUGGAGCUGGUGGAGAGAGCCCAGCAGGGCCCCGAGGUCUGGAGGGCCUGGAGCACUUCUGCCGUGAAGAGAGGCUGCAAGAGCUGGGCCUGGCUCCGGGGGAGGCUCUCGCCAGGGGUGCCCAGGGCCAGGAGCAGAGGCCCCGGACCCAGCCUGGAGCCCGGGAGGUGCCCUCUGGGCCCCAGGCAGCACUGCUGUGCCGGGCGGGUGCCGGAGCCCUGGCACAGGCUGCCCAGAGAGGGGCUGGGGGCUCCUCCGCGGGGGCUCCAGCAGCCGCCGGGACGUGGGGCUGGGCGAGCGGCUCCACGGGGCCCUGCUGGGGCAAGGGGUGAGUGGCAGCACCCAGGGGUUCCCCCAGCCUCAGCCACGCUGUGGUUCUGCACACUGUUUCUGCACACUCUGGUCAAUCUUACUCUCAGUGACAGGCACCACGGAGGCUCAGCACUUCCAGAGCCAGCCAGUCUGCAGCCCCUGCUGCCAGUCCAGUCCCCAGGGCAGCCUGAAGAAGCACAGGGAAGGUCCACGCAGCCACUGCAGGGCACCGUGCAAGCAGAUACGAGCUCUGCACACUGCCACAGGUGCCAUGCCAGCAUGCACACAGGACAGGCAGCGCAGGACACGUGUGCUGCAUGGAGGGGCUGUAGCUGUAGCUGCAGCUCAGUGUGGACACAGCACAACAACCUUACAGCUGGUAUUUGGC
This 1051-nucleotide long non-coding RNA is filed under the name Anas platyrhynchos platyrhynchos (common mallard). RNAcentral describes it as "lncRNA (ENSAPLG00000020259.1)". Lineage: Eukaryota; Metazoa; Chordata; Aves; Anseriformes; Anatidae. The record is from RNAcentral.